GCAAGGGUAANUCAAAGANUGNGGGGCCGGCNAAACAAUGAGCAUGGGUUUANUUGAUNCAACGGNAGANCCUACCCAGGCUNGAAGGUAGGGACANCUCCUGAAAGGGAGCCUCUNGUAGAGUCGCUAUAUAGGUGCUGCAUGGCUGUCGUCAGCUCGUGCCGUAGGUGUUGGGUUAAGUCCCGCAACGAGCGCAACCCUUAUCAUUAGUUGCCAGCAAUUCGGUUGGGAACUNUAAUGAGACUGCCUAGGUUAACUAGGAGGAAGGCGAGGAUGACGUCAAGUCCGCAUGGCCUUUAUGUCUGGGGCUACACCCGUGCUACAAUGGUCGGUACAGAAGGCAGCAAGACCGCAAGGUGGAGCAAAUCCCUAAAGCCGAUCUCAGUUCGGAUUGUAAUCUGCAACUCGAUUACAUGAAGUUGGAAUUGCUAGUAAUGACGUGUCAUCAAUAACGUCGUGAAUACGUUCCCGGGCCUUGUACACACCGCCCGUCACAUCAUGGAAGUUGGUUUUACCCGACGUCGCUGACUCAACCGCAAGGAGAGAGGCGCCUACGNAGGCCGANAUGGAA
This 571-nucleotide ribosomal RNA is filed under the name uncultured bacterium. RNAcentral describes it as "partial 16S ribosomal RNA". It matches the Rfam family "Bacterial small subunit ribosomal RNA", at positions 888 to 1480 of the family's 1533-position model. The record is from RNAcentral.